AGCGGCAGGCGAGGUAGGAACACGUAGGUACGUACCCCAAAGUCAGGGAUAACCCGGCGAAAGUGGGAGUAAUACUUGAUAGUCUCUUCGGAGUAAAGAUUUAUCGCUAAGGGAACGGCCUGCGUUCUAUCAGCUUGUUGGUAAGGUAACGGCUUACCAAGGCUACGACGGAUAGGGGAGGUGAGAGCCUGACCCCCACCGAUGGAACUGCGACACGGUCCAUACUCCUACGGGAGGCCGCAGUCGAGAAUCUUCCGCAAUGGACGAAAGUCUGACGGAGCGACGCCGCGUGGUGGAUGAAGUCUUUCGGGACGUAAACACCUUUUUUGAGGGAGGAAGUUUAUUGACGUUACCUCAUGAAUAAGGGGCUCCCAAUUCUGUGCCAGCAGGAGCGGUAAUACAGAAGCCCCGAGCAUUACCCGGAUUCACUGGGCGUAAAGGGUGCGUAGGCGGAUAUGUUAGUCAGGUGUUAAAUCCUGGGGCUCAACCCCAGGCUCGCAUUUGAAACGGCAUAUCUAGAAGACGUGAGAGGUGAACAGAACUCUCGGUGUAGGGGUGAAAUCCGUUGAUAUCGAGGGGAAUACCAAAUGCGAAGGCAGUUCACUGGCGCGUUCUUGACGCUGAGGCACGAAAGCGAGGGUAGCGAACGGGAUUAGAUACCCCGGUAGUCCACGCCCUAAACGAGGUCUGCUAGCUUUUUCGAGUAUCGACCCUCGAAGAGGCGAAGGUAACCCGUAA
RNAcentral lists this ribosomal RNA (738 nucleotides) under uncultured bacterium. Its description in RNAcentral is "bacterial SSU rRNA". It matches the Rfam family "Bacterial small subunit ribosomal RNA", at positions 94 to 862 of the family's 1533-position model. The record is from RNAcentral.